This is an RNA transcript of Osmerus eperlanus (European smelt), 6029 nucleotides long. It is a transcript of the gene named thrombospondin 2a, with no coding region annotated. NCBI's taxonomy places the organism in Eukaryota, Metazoa, Chordata, Actinopteri, Osmeriformes, Osmeridae. The transcript has 24 exons. The record is from RefSeq and is a predicted model, not a curated record.
AGCACUACCGCUCAAGUCCUUCCACUACCGCUCACGUCCUUCCACGCGUGGAUAUAGUGGACAUUACACGCACAGUUUCCUCUCCGCCACAACACUUGAUAUUUAUUUGAACAAUAUAGUUUUUCGUUGGAUAUUUUUCAAUUUGAAUUUAAAGGGAUUGCAUUGGCACCAGGAGACAUGAUACUCAGGAGAUGUCUGUACUUGCUGCCGUUACUGUGUGUCUGCCUCGCAGCGCAACCUCAAGAUGGAGAGUUGGACGACGACACGAUUUUCGACCUGUUUGAGAUCAGUCACAUCAACCGCAAGACUCUGGGAGCCAAGCAGUUCCGGGGCCAAGACUCGGACGCGCCGGCGUACCGCUUCAUCCGCUUCGACCAGCUGCCGUCCGUCCACGCUGCUGUGCUGAGACAGCUGCUGCGGCAGGUCCAGAACAACGAGGGCUUCGUGCUGGAGGCCAGCUUGCGGCAAGACCGCGGCUCCCGGGGGACGCUGGUGGGGCUGGAGGACUCCAACGGUCAACGGCAGUUUGAGAUUGUGUCCAACGGGCGCGCCAACACGCUGGACCUGGUGUACUGGGUGGACGGAUCCCAGAACGUGGUGUCCUUCGAGGACGUGGACCUGUCCGACUCCCAGUGGAAGAACAUCACGCUUCACGUCCACGGGGAGAACGCCCACCUGUUUGUGGGCUGUGGGCUGGUGGACAGCUUCAUCCUGGACGAGCCCUUCUACGAGCACCUGCAGCAGGAGGGCAGCAGGAUGUUCGUGGCCAAGGGCUCCACACGGGAAAACCACUUCAGGGGCUUGCUGCAGAAUGUGCGUUUCAUCUUUGACACUUCGAUGGAUGACAUCCUGAUGGCGAAGGGCUGUGAUGUCACUAAACCAGUCCGUCUCUCCGACCCAGAUGAGGCGAACACGGUGAGCGAGAGUGCUGAGGUGGUGGAUGUCAGUCCUUCCAUCACCACUAACUUCAUUGGUCAGAAGCCGGAGAAGGCGGGACCGGGGGCGGAGCUAUGCGAGCGCUCCUGUGAGGAGCUGAGCUCCAUGUUCCAGGAACUUAAGGGCCUGCGCGUCGUCGUCGGCAACCUGAUUGACGGCCUUCAGAAAGUGACGGAGGAGAAUGUGGUGAUGAAGGACGCUCUGGCCAGGAUGAAGAACUCCAAGGAGAAGAGCAUGUGCUGGCAGGACGGGCGUCUGUUUGAGGACAAGGAGGACUGGGUGGUGGACAGCUGCACCAAGUGCACCUGCCAGGAGUCUAAGAUAGUGUGCCACCAGAUUACCUGCCCUGCGGUGGCCUGUGCCAGCCCUUCCUUCAUCGAUGGAGAAUGCUGCCCUGUGUGUCUACCUAAAGACAGUGAGGAUGGCUGGUCUCCGUGGUCUGAGUGGACAGAGUGUACGGUCACCUGUGGGACAGGUACGCAGCAGAGGGGCAGGUCAUGUGACGCCACCAGCAACCCCUGCUCCGGCCCGUCUAUACAGACACGCAAGUGCAGCCUGGGAAAAUGUGACAGUCGAGUCCGCCAGGACGGUGGGUGGAGCCUGUGGUCUCCCUGGUCAUCGUGCUCCGUGUCGUGUGGUGAGGGUCAGAUCACCAGGAUCCGCCACUGCAACGCCCCCGUGCCCCAGCUGGGAGGCCGAGACUGUCAGGGGAGCGGCCGGGAGACACAGCGAUGUGAGGCCAAGCCUUGUCCAAUUGACGGUGGUUGGGGACCGUGGUCGCCGUGGGCAACCUGCUCAGCAACCUGUGGGGGCGGGAUUAAGAGUCGGACACGCGUGUGUAACAGCCCCCAGCCCCAGUACGGUGGAAAGCAGUGCCUGGGAGAAGCCAAGGACAGCGACAUCUGCAACAAGAAGGACUGUCCUAUUGACGGCUGUCUGUCUGACCCGUGUUUCGGGGGGGUGGACUGCAGCAGUGCCUCAGAUGGAUCCUGGGAAUGUGGACCUUGCCCUGUUGGUUUCCGUGGCAACGGAACCCAUUGCGAAGACAUCAAUGAGUGUGACAUGGUGUCGGACGUGUGCUACCGGGUGGGUGAAGCCCAGCGCUGUGUGAACACAGACCCAGGCUUCCACUGUCUGUCCUGCCCUCCCAGGUACAAGGGCACCCAGCCCUUCGGCAUGGGAGUGGAGGCUGCCAAGAACAACAAGCAGGUGUGUGAGCCUGAGAACCCGUGCCAGGACAAGACCCAUAACUGCCACCGGCACGCAGACUGUGUGUAUCUCAGCCACUUCAGCGACCCCAUGUACAAGUGUGACUGUAAGAUCGGCUACGCAGGGGACGGCUUCAUCUGCGGGGAGGACUCCGACCUGGACGGCUGGCCCAAUCACAACCUGGUGUGUGACGCCAAUGCCACCUAUCACUGCAAGAAGGACAACUGCCCCAACCUGCCCAACUCUGGACAGGAAGACUUUGACAAAGACGGGCAAGGGGACGCGUGUGACAAGGACGAUGACAACGACGGCAUCGUAGACGAGAGAGACAACUGUCCUUUGCUGUACAACCCUCGUCAGUUUGACUUUGACAAAGACGACGUGGGCGACCGCUGUGACAACUGCCCCUACGAGCACAACCCCGCCCAGAUAGACACGGACCACAACGGCGAGGGAGAUGCCUGCUCUGUGGACAUCGACGGGGACGAGAUUCUGAACGAACAUGACAACUGUCCGUACGUGUACAACCAUGAGCAGAAGGAUACAGACAUGGAUGGAGUAGGAGACCAGUGUGACAACUGUCCACUUCUGCACAACCCAGACCAGGCGGACAGAGAUAACGACCUGGUGGGGGACCAGUGUGACAACAGCCAAGACAUCGACGAGGACGGCCACCAGAACAACUUGGACAACUGUCCCUACGUUGCCAACUCCAACCAGGCCGACCACGACAAGGACGGCAAGGGCGACGCCUGUGACUAUGACGACGACAACGAUGGUAUCCCUGACGAUAAAGAUAACUGCAGACUGGUGCCCAAUGAAGACCAGCUUGACUCUGAUGGAGAUGGCAGGGGCGACGCCUGCAAAGACGACUUUGACAACGACAACAUCCCCGACAUCCUGGACGUGUGCCCUGAGAACAACGCCAUUAGCAUCACAGACUUCAGGAAGUUCCAGAUGGUGCACCUGGACCCCAAGGGCACCACGCAGAUCGACCCCAGCUGGGUGGUGCGGCACCAGGGCAAGGAGCUGGUCCAGACCGCCAACUCAGACCCGGGCAUCGCCGUGGGCUUUGACGAGUUCAACGCGGUGGAUUUCAGCGGCACGUUUUACGUGAACACGGACCGUGACGACGACUACGCUGGCUUCGUGUUCGGGUACCAGUCCAGCGGCCGCUUCUACGUGGUCAUGUGGAAGCAGAUCACCCAGACCUACUGGGAGGACAAGCCCUCCAAGGCGUUCGGCCUCUCGGGAGUCUCCCUCAAGGUGGUUAACUCCACCACGGGCACCGGGGAGAACCUGAGGAAUGCGCUGUGGCACACAGGGAACACCGCCGGCCAGGUGCGUACCCUCUGGCACGAUCCCAAGAACGUCGGCUGGAAAGACUUUACCGCCUACAGGUGGCACCUCAUACACAGACCCAAGACUGGCUUCAUCAGGGUGGUGGUGUACGAGGGGAAGCAGAUCCUGGCGGACUCGGGGCCCGUGUACGACCAGACGUUCGCAGGAGGACGGCUCGGCCUCUUUGUGUUCUCCCAGGAGCUCGUCUUCUUCUCAGACCUCAAGUAUGAGUGCAGAGAUAAGCCGGAGUUUCCAACUGUGUUCAUAUAAAGAUAACUGAGCUGGGUGGACCAUGCUCCUCUGUCUCCUGGAUCUCCACAUCUUAACUCCAUCUUUCAGAUGGACACAGACCUGUCUGCUGUGCUGGGACAGCCAUUAGACUGGUUAGGGUUACCCCUGUCUGUCCUCCAGGGUUAGGGUUCGCUGUGUCUGUUCUCCAGGGUUAGGGUUAGCUGUGUGUCCUCCAGGGUUAGGGUUAGCUGUGUCUGUUCUCCAGGGUUAGCCAUGUCUGUUCUCCAGGGUUAGGGUUAGCUGUGUCUGUUUUCCAGGGUUAGGGUUAGUUGUGUGUCCUCCAAGGUUAGGGUUAGCUGUGUCUGUUCUCCAGGUUUAGGGUUAGCUGUGUCUGUUCUCCAGGGUUAGGGUUAGUUGUGUGUCCUCCAGGGUUAGGGUUAGCUUUGUCUGUUAUCCAGGGUUAUCUGUGUCUGUUCUCCAGGGUUAGGGUUAGCUGUGUGUCCUCCAGGAUUAGGGUUAGCUGUGUCUGUUAUCCAGGGUUAGGGUUAGCUGUGUCUGUUCUCCAGGGUCUUGGAAGACCAGACUUUCCCUUAGAAGUGACAUCACAUCUCAGUGGACUAACAAAAGCCAAAUAACUUAACGCUGUGUUCGACAUUGUACAUUUCUUUUAAUCCUAUUUUUUCUGUUUUACAUUUUUGAUUUUAGCUCACUUUUCCAACUGUCAGUCUUAGUGAAUACCAAUAUUUGAGUUCUAGGAACAGAUAAGGGACAUGAUCCACACAUUUGAACUAUAACUUAAGGUUAUACCACAGACCAAUUAUAGACUGGUACCAAAGACCAGUGAUGUGGCAGAUUAUAGACUGGUACCAAAGACCAGUGAUGUGGCAGAUUAUAGACUGGUACCAAAGACCAGUGAUGUGGCAGAUUAUAGACUGGUAUCCGUUCCCAUCAUUCUUAAUGCCUCUGGAAAGUUCUUCAACCCCAAGGCCUUUUUACAGCAACUUACUCUGGGAACAAGAUGUUUAUACUAAGUCUGUAUUAUACAUUAUUUUUUUGUAAAUUAUUUAUGCUAUCGUUUUUUAAUGUUUAUUUUUUUCCUUGUUUGUUUCCCUUUUUGCUGAAGUUUGUAAAUACUUAUUUAUUUGUUUACACUGAUAUAAAACAACUAUUUGAAAUACACCUGAAAUUUGUGCUAAAUAAUAUCCAAGCUUUGCAUCAUAACUGAAAGAUGGGGUCAGGAUUGAUAUGCAGGACUUUGCAGGCAGUGCUUUUGUCACCAUGAAGUGGUGAAGUGUGGAGUUACUACACACCAUGACCGGAGCAGAUCUGAAAAGUCACAUGAAUGAGUGUUUAUGCUGAGUUAGAGAGUCAUGUUUAGGUUGUGUAGUGUUGUAUGUAGUAGUGUGAGGAUGUCUGUCCACAGGGCCACAGGCUCAGAGUGAGUCCACAGGCCUACAGAUCUAUUCCUCGAUGUGGAAAGUGUGUUUUCUAUAUAUGGAAGGAUUUUAUUGUAAACGUGUCUUUCCUACAUCAAGGAUGGAUAUUCAGGACUUCCUGUUUCUGGUCUGUAAGGUUGAGAUAACAAUAUUAUCACAAGAGGGAAAUGUGGAUUAAAUGGGACGGUAACGUUGCACCUGUACACCUGUAGCACAAUAACCCCAGAUUAGCUCAAAGCUAACUGUAACUGUUGCUCCUUCAAACAAACGGAUAAGCAAACGAUCAUUAAAAAACAAGUUAUCACACAAUUUGUUGUAAAAAUAAAUGUAAUUAAAUGAAAUUAUACUAAUGACAACCAACUAAGCAAAUGUUAACUAAGAAGCCAUCCUCCAUUAUGCAUUCAAUUAGCCAAAGUUAGACACAGUUAGCCAUUGUCUGUGUCCCUGAGAAGUAAUGACGUACUACCACAACAUGUGCAAAGGGUCUUGGGUAAUGGACGGACGUCUCAUCCUCCAUACUAGUUUCUACUCAGAGAACCCGCCAGACCCACAAUGCUGUCACUGAAUGCCAUCACUGAACUGACAUAACAUCAGAGUUAAAAAAACACAUUAAUUACAUGGAUCAGGCAUUCAGAAAAAGUAUGAACAUAUCCGUUAGUAUAGCAGUUGUUGUCCCAAUACAUCAAAAUAUGUUAGCUUGUUCUGUUUUUUGGGGGUUUUGCAAUGCACAAAUGUACAUUGUUUUUGAUAUACAUGAUGCACGUGUUACAUUUUCUAACAACCCUUUUUGUAAGUGGUAAACAUUAAAAAUGUAUCUUGUUUAAUGAAACAAUCUCAUGUACAUGAUCAAAUUAUGUUCUAUAGGGAAUAAACAUU